Molecule: long non-coding RNA, 1408 nt
Filed under: Chinchilla lanigera (long-tailed chinchilla)
Lineage: Eukaryota; Metazoa; Chordata; Mammalia; Rodentia; Chinchillidae
Description: lncRNA (ENSCLAG00000022849.1)
Source: RNAcentral
ACUUUUCUUUGAUGAUAUCUUCCACAUUAUUUGUUCUGUGUACAUGGAAGACAGGGUGUGAAAUCUAAUCUAGUGGCCAACUGGCCAACUGACUCAUUCCAAGCGAGCUCAUUGCCUGCCCAGUGCAGUGUAGUUCUAGGCUCCCAGGAAACGGAGCGGUAAGACACAGUCUCUAGGCAGAUGGAAUCCCUGGGAACAAAGAGAUUAUACGAAAGUAAAUAAACAAAUACAAUAAUCAAGGUGAUUUCAGAUAAGGAUAGAUACCUUCAAGAAGAAAAUAACACGUCAUGGUGCUCAAGAGAUUACUGACAAUGGGGCAGAACAUUUCUGAGACCCCGUCCUGUUCCACCAGGUUUUUUAUUAAGUGUCUAUUGUGUUAAGUGCUUGGAACACCAAGGAGUGACACAUCGCACCCGCUGUCCGGCAGCGACAGCAGAUAGGAAAUCAGAUUCCAAGUGGGUUGACCUGUAACCCGUGUGAAUUAUCAGGGAGCACUUCCCUCCGGGGAUAACAAUGGCAUUAAAAUGUUGGUGACACCAAGAGUCCAUCUAGCUCAAGUGCUGGGAGGGAAACAUGGCCCCUACUGGCUUUGAUUAUGAUAAUGGCUUGGUUGGAAACUGCUCCACCUGCAGAAAUCUCUGCUCCCUGGAUUAGGACAUUAAGCCUGGGCUGGGGUGUAGGUCAGUGGUAGAAUGCUUGACUAGCAUGCAUGAAGCCCUGGGUUUGAUCCCUAGCACCGCCCAAAAAACCCUUUAAACCCGUGUUUGCUCAUUACGCAAGCAUCGCAAACCUGCUUCUCCCAGAGACAUCUCAGACACGCUGAGCUGGUGUGGCCUAAAAAGCAAGCUGGUGUUAUAUUCGGGAAAUCUAACUUGUGAGUGAGUCAGCCUCACUCACGAAGAGGGGACCCGGAGGACUCGCUGCUUCCAGUCGAGCACCAGCGAUGGACAUGAAAAGGUCAACUCCAUGGGCUUUGGCGAGUUGAUGGGUGCGUUUGGGAACGUCACUGAGAGAUGUCCACGGACUGCAGCCGCUGUCUGAUCCCAGCGCCCGUUCUCGGACUUGGAAGAUUUGGAGAAGCACUUUUUUGCCUUUAUUGACGCUCUCCCUCGGUCAGGAAGUCUUCAGGCCCUCGCGUCCGGCCCCUUUCAACAUCAAAGCCCCCCUGACAGCAAAGGACUUUGAAAAGAUACGAAAAGUUCAGGCUCCUUAUCGCGUCCUUGCUCACUGCCGUGCAGGUCGUAAAUUCCGAGCCUCCGCGGCCUCCCUCUCUCCCCUCCGUUCUGCUAGGCUCCAGGUCUCAAAGGACAAGCCUGUCACUCCUUGUCCCGCCCCCGGACCCGAUAUGGGCUGAAUGGAGCUGGGGACCGAGGGGCGCAAGAUCUGGGACUUGGAGAGGCGCGGGGCG